Molecule: ribosomal RNA, 551 nt
Filed under: uncultured archaeon
Lineage: Archaea
Description: bacterial SSU rRNA
Rfam family: Archaeal small subunit ribosomal RNA
Source: RNAcentral
ACGGGGUGCAGCAGGCGCGAAACUCCACACUGGGGGAACCCCGAUGAGGGAAAUCCUAGUGCUAGGACAUUUGUUCUAGCUUUUCUCAAGCGUAGAUAACUUGAGGAAUAAGGGCUGGGUAAGACGGGUGCCAGCCGCCGCGGUAAUACCUGCAGCCCAAGUGGUGGUCGAUUUUAUUGAGUCUAAAACGUUCGUAGCCGGUUUGGUAAAUCUUUGGGUAAAUCGGGAGGCUCAACUUUCCGACUUCCGAAGAGACUGCCAAACUUGGGACCGGGAGAGGCUAGAGGUACUUCUGGGGUAGGGGUAAAAUCCUGUAAUCCUAGAAGGACCACCGGUGGCGAAGGCGUCUAGCUAGAACGGAUCCGACGGUGAGGGACGAAGCCCUGGGUCGCAAACGGGAUUAGAUACCCCGGUAGUCCAGGGUGUAAACGCUGCCGACUUGGUGUUGGAGGCCCUUCGGGGGCAUUCAGUGCCGGAGAGAAGUUGUUAAGUCGGCUACUUGGGGAGUACGUCCGCAAGGAUAAAACUUAAAGGAAUUGGCGGGGGAGCAC